GACGAAUCAUCUGGAAAGAUGAAUCAAAGAAGGUAAUAAUCCUGUAGUCGAAAAUGUUGUCUCUCUUGAGUGGAUCCUGAGUACGACGGAGCACGUGAAAUUCCGUCGGAAUCUGGGAGGACCAUCUCCUAAGGCUAAAUACUCUCUAGUGACCGAUAGUGAACCAGUACCGUGAGGGAAAGGUGAAAAGCACCCCGGAAGGGGAGUGAAAUAGAACCUGAAACCGUGUGCUUACAAGUAGUCAGAGCCCGUUAAUGGGUGAUGGCGUGCCUUUUGUAGAAUGAACCGGCGAGUUACGAUUUGAUGCAAGGUUAAGCAGUAAAUGUGGAGCCGUAGCGAAAGCGAGUCUGAAUAGGGCGUUUAGUAUUUGGUCGUAGACCCGAAACCAGGUGAUCUACCCUUGGUCAGGUUGAAGUUCAGGUAACACUGAAUGGAGGACCGAACCGACUUACGUUGAAAAGUGAGCGGAUGAACUGAGGGUAGCGGAGAAAUUCCAAUCGAACCUGGAGAUAGCUGGUUCUCUCCGAAAUAGCUUUAGGGCUAGCCUCAAGUGAUGAUUAUUGGAGGUAGAGCACUGUUUGGACGAGGGGCCCCUCUCGGGUUACCGAAUUCAGACAAACUCCGAAUGCCAAUUAAUUUAACUUGGGAGUCAGAACAUGGGUGAUAAGGUCCAUGUUCGAAAGGGAAACAGCCCAGACCACCAGCUAAGGUCCCAAAAUAUAUGUUAAGUGGAAAAGGAUGUGGCGUUGCCCAGACAACUAGGAUGUUGGCUUAGAAGCAGCCAUCAUUUAAAGAGUGCGUAAUAGCUCACUAGUCGAGUGACACUGCGCCGAAAAUGUACCGGGGCUAAACAUAUUACCGAAGCUGUGGAUUGUCCUUUGGACAAUGGUAGGAGAGCGUUCUAAGGGCGUUGAAGCAUGAUCGUAAGGACAUGUGGAGCGCUUAGAAGUGAGAAUGCCGGUGUGAGUAGCGAAAGA
This 977-nucleotide ribosomal RNA is filed under the name Staphylococcus aureus. RNAcentral's name for it is "partial 23S ribosomal RNA". It matches the Rfam family "Bacterial large subunit ribosomal RNA", at positions 332 to 1316 of the family's 2925-position model. Lineage: Bacteria; Bacillati; Bacillota; Bacilli; Caryophanales; Staphylococcaceae. The record is from RNAcentral.